ACAGUUCAUACACUUUUAUAAUUUAUUAAUUAAGGAGCGCACUGAAUAGAUGGAUCUACAAGAAUAAUAAUUAGAUUAAAUUUCUUUAACAAAACACAAUUUAACCCAUGCUGUAUAACUCUUUUUUCAGAAUGGAUUGAUAAUCUUGAUAUUCAUGCUUAUGGCAGGCUCUAUCUUGAAAUAGUAGAUGCUCCUCCAGUGCUCGAUUUGGAUUUUCUAUCAAUACUAAGCUUGAAGUUGAACUGGUUUGUCGCCGCUUCAACGGAACUUGCUAUUAUACCACACAACCAAGAACAUCUCCAUCUAUUUCACUUGACUAUUCCGUAUGGAUUGGUGAUUUAUACACUUUGACUGUUCUGUACUGUAUGGAAUUUGAGUAUUCAUAAGAAUGCCUUGUCUUAUACUCCCUCCUGGAGUCUCCAAGACGAAAUCUU
Molecule: long non-coding RNA, 434 nt
Organism: Nilaparvata lugens (brown planthopper)
Lineage: Eukaryota; Metazoa; Arthropoda; Insecta; Hemiptera; Delphacidae
Exons: 2
Source: RefSeq, a predicted model, not a curated record